UACGAACUGUGCGAACGUUAUUCGGAAUCACUGGGCUUAAAGGGUGCGUAGGCGGCGAUUCAAGUCAGGUGUGAAAUCCCCCGGCUCAACCGGGGAACGUGCGCUUGAAACUGGAUUGCUCGAGUGAGGCAGGGGUGUAUGGAACUUCCGGUGGAGCGGUGAAAUGUGUAGAUAUCGGAAGGAACGCCGGCGGCGAAAGCGGUACACUGGGCCUUGUCUGACGCUGAGGCACGAAAGCUAGGGGAGUGAACGGGAUUAGAUACCCUUGUAGU
This 272-nucleotide ribosomal RNA is filed under the name uncultured bacterium. RNAcentral's name for it is "partial 16S ribosomal RNA". It matches the Rfam family "Bacterial small subunit ribosomal RNA", at positions 524 to 794 of the family's 1533-position model. The record is from RNAcentral.